RNAcentral lists this long non-coding RNA (300 nucleotides) under Elaeis guineensis (African oil palm). RNAcentral describes it as "long non-coding RNA (EGUI_LNC022983)". Lineage: Eukaryota; Viridiplantae; Streptophyta; Magnoliopsida; Arecales; Arecaceae. The record is from RNAcentral.
GUAGUCUGGUAGCAAUGAAGCCAUCACUCUCAUCCAUCAAGUUAGUAAUAAAAAGGAGGAUGGGCUCUUCGAAAGGAGAGUCCUCAAAGAAAUUGAAGGAUGUUUGGUCGGGGUUCCCAAGUUUUGUCCUGGCACAAUGCCUGAGAGUGUUGGAUGUAGAUCAAGUGGAGACUGGAGACAAGCCGAUGGUGGCUAGGAGAGCAGCUGAGGCAUGGGUCACUACCAAACCAAAGCUCAAAGCUGUCAAGGAGUACAGAGCCUCGAUAGAUUUUGAGAGUGAGAUUAUGGAGGCUUCAGUAG